Molecule: ribosomal RNA, 379 nt
Filed under: uncultured eukaryote
Lineage: Eukaryota
Description: SSU rRNA
Rfam family: Eukaryotic small subunit ribosomal RNA
Source: RNAcentral
AGCUCCAAUAGCGUAUAUUAAAGUUGUUGCGGUUAAAAAGCUCGUAGUUGGAUUUCUGUCGGUGAGUCGCAGUCCGCUCUCAGUGGUUGGUACUAGCGCUUUCACCGGCAUCUUCCUGGGGACUGUGUCUGCUCUUUAUUGAGUGGGGCAAAAUCCAGGACUUUUACUUUGAGGAAAUAGGAGUGUUUCAAGCAGGCAAUCGCCAUGAACAUGUUAGCAUGGAAUAAUAGCAUCGGACCUCGUUCCAAAGCUGUUGGUUUCUUGGAAUGAGGUAAAGGUGAAUAGGGAUUGUUGGGGGCAUUCGUAUUUAACUGUCAGAGGUGAAAUUCUUGGAUUUGUUGAAGACGGACUACUGCGAAAGCAUCUGCCAAAGAUGUUC